Molecule: unclassified non-coding RNA, 678 nt
Filed under: Apis florea (little honeybee)
Lineage: Eukaryota; Metazoa; Arthropoda; Insecta; Hymenoptera; Apidae
Description: uncharacterized LOC100865311, transcript variant X3
Source: RNAcentral
CGCGUGUAUAUGAUAACCUCACCUAGCGAAUAAUACAUGAAUAUUCUUUUCCUAAAUUCAAAAUGUUAAAAAUGUCAGAAUUGAAUCAAAUAAUCUUUGCAAACUUAUUAACAAAUCAUGAUUACCUGUUUUGAUAAUCUUUUUCUCUUCAAAUGAAAUCACAGACAUUACACUUCUUUUUUCUAUUUCGAUCAAAAUUUUAAAAGGUAAGAAUUCUAACAGAAAGCACCAUCUAACGGAUGUCGACUUAUCGACGAGAAGUAUAACGGUAGCUACAAUAUUCUUUAGCCAAGCUCGAGACACGACAAGGUCGGCAAACAUCAUUAUCUAGAAAAUCUGUCAACGGGUUGGAGUGUAGACGAAAUAUCCCACGGGGUAUGAUGCCGCGUCGACUCGUUAAGGAAUCCAUGUCCGGAACUUGGUUAAAGGCUAGAGGCCGCACAAGUGGACGAGUAGGUAAUCCCGAAGGGUUAAGGUUUACGUCGACCGACCGUGGAGAGAUCGAGACGACAAAUUGGGGAUGCCCGUGCGGGGCAGUGCUUCCCCCGUGCACUUACAAGGGAGGCCUCUCUUCUGAAGGGUCAACAAGAGUGAAGUAUUAUUUUUUGUUUUAUUUUGUAUUUUCAUUUUUUUUUAUUUUUCCUAUUUUAGAUUUUUAUAAUUAUAAUUUCAUCUAUA